This 432-nucleotide long non-coding RNA is filed under the name Rosa chinensis. RNAcentral's name for it is "sRNA RchiOBHm_Chr4g0398511". Lineage: Eukaryota; Viridiplantae; Streptophyta; Magnoliopsida; Rosales; Rosaceae. The record is from RNAcentral.
GAUUUCCGAGAGAUUUUCACUCUCAUUUUCUCUCUCUAAAACUUAGGCAUAUCUUAACUUUUGAUCCGUAACUCCGAUUCAAGAUGUGUGAAAAGUUACGGAUUCGUCCUGAUGCCCUCUUUCUGGAGGUUUGAGUUAGAUCAAACGGUUGUUUCUAGAAGGCUUAUAUUAGGAGACUCGAUUUAUGAUCAGUAUAUUGAAAGUUGAUUCGUAUUGUCGAGGUCUGCAAGAGGGAGCAAGGGCUUUAUGGUGUGGAAAAUUGAUCUCUCUAAGGCUUAUGAUAAGCUAAACUGGAACUUUAUUCGACAGGUUUUCUAUGAGCUUCAACGUCCUGAUUCUGUAAUCAAUUAUUAUGCAUUGCAUCACUUCCGCUACUUUUCAAGUAAUUGUUAAUAGAGAUUUAUCUGAUAAAUUUGAUGCUGGUAGAGGUGU